UCAUGAUUUACAUUUGAGUGAGUGGCGAACUGGUGAGUAACACGUGGGAAACCUGCCCAGAAGCGGGGGAUAACACCUGGAAACAGAUGCUAAUACCGCAUAACAACUUGGACCGCAUGGUCCGAGUUUGAAAGAUGGCUUCGGCUAUCACUUUUGGAUGGUCCCGCGGCGUAUUAGCUAGAUGGUGAGGUAACGGCUCACCAUGGCAAUGAUACGUAGCCGACCUGAGAGGGUAAUCGGCCACAUUGGGACUGAGACACGGCCCAAACUCCUACGGGAGGCAGCAGUAGGGAAUCUUCCACAAUGGACGAAAGUCUGAUGGAGCAACGCCGCGUGAGUGAAGAAGGGUUUCGGCUCGUAAAACUCUGUUGUUAAAGAAGAACAUAUCUGAGAGUAACUGUUCAGGUAUUGACGGUAUUUAACCAGAAAGCCACGGCUAACUACGUGCCAGCAGCCGCGGUAAUACGUAGGUGGCAAGCGUUGUCCGGAUUUAUUGGGCGUAAAGCGAGCGCAGGCGGUUUUUUAAGUCUGAUGUGAAAGCCUUCGGCUCAACCGGAGAAGUGCAUCGGAAACUGGGAAACUUGAGUGCAGAAGAGGACAGUGGAACUCCAUGUGUAGCGGUGAAAUGCGUAGAUAUAUGGAAGAACCCACCAGUGCCGAAGGCGGCUGUCUGGUCUGUAACUGACGCUGAGGCUCGAAAGUAUGGGUAGCCAACCGGAUUAGAUACCCUGCUAGUUCCAUACCGUAACCGAUGAAUGCUAAGUGUUGGAGGG
This 773-nucleotide ribosomal RNA is filed under the name Lactiplantibacillus plantarum. Its description in RNAcentral is "bacterial SSU rRNA". It matches the Rfam family "Bacterial small subunit ribosomal RNA", at positions 72 to 830 of the family's 1533-position model. The record is from RNAcentral. Lineage: Bacteria; Bacillati; Bacillota; Bacilli; Lactobacillales; Lactobacillaceae.